GCGCCCGUGGCUCAAUUGGAUAGAGCACUUGACUACGGAUCAAGCGAUUAUGGGUUCGAAUCCUAUCGGGCGCGCCA
RNAcentral lists this transfer RNA (77 nucleotides) under bacterium. RNAcentral's name for it is "tRNA-Arg". It matches the Rfam family "tRNA". From Rfam's summary of the family: Transfer RNA (tRNA) molecules are approximately 80 nucleotides in length. The record is from RNAcentral.